UCGAUUGAGUUUGAUCAUGGCUCAGGACGAACGCUGGCGGCGUGCUUAACACAUGCAAGUCGAACGGUGAUGCCCCUUCGGGGGCGGAUCAGUGGCGAACGGGUGAGUAACACGUGGGCAACCUGCCCCUAGCUCUGGGAUAACCCCGGGAAACCGGGGCUAAUACCGGAUACGACCUCGAUUGGCAUCUUUCGAGGUGGAAAGUUUUUCGGCUAGGGAUGGGCCCGCGGCCUAUCAGCCUGUUGGCGGGGUAACGGCCCACCAAGGCGACGACGGGUAGCCGGCCUGAGAGGGCGACCGGCCACACUGGGACUGAGACACGGCCCAGACUCCUACGGGAGGCAGCAGUGGGGAAUAUUGCGCAAUGGGCGAAAGCCUGACGCAGCGACGCCGCGUGAGGGACGAAGGCCUUCGGGUUGUAAACCUCUUUCAGCAGGGACGAAGCGAGAGUGACGGUACCUGCAGAAGAAGCACCGGCCAACUACGUGCCAGCAGCCGCGGUAAUACGUAGGGUGCAAGCGUUGUCCGGAAUUAUUGGGCGUAAAGAGCUCGUAGGCGGUCUGUCGCGUCGGCUGUGAAAACCCGAGGCUCAACCUCGGGCCUGCAGUCGAUACGGGCAGACUAGAGUUCGGUAGGGGAGACUGGAAUUCCUGGUGUAGCGGUGAAAUGCGCAGAUAUCAGGAGGAACACCGGUGGCGAA
Molecule: ribosomal RNA, 700 nt
Filed under: uncultured bacterium
Lineage: Bacteria
Description: bacterial SSU rRNA
Rfam family: Bacterial small subunit ribosomal RNA
Source: RNAcentral